This 301-nucleotide ribosomal RNA is filed under the name uncultured bacterium. RNAcentral's name for it is "partial 16S ribosomal RNA". It matches the Rfam family "Bacterial small subunit ribosomal RNA", at positions 509 to 807 of the family's 1533-position model. The record is from RNAcentral.
CAGUCGCCGCGGGAAUACGUAGGGUGCAAGCGUUAAUCGGAAUUACUGGGCGUAAAGCGUGCGCAGGCGGUUUGUUAAGACAGAUGUGAAAUCCCCGGGCUUAACCUGGGAACUGCAUUUGUGACUGGCAAGCUAGAGUAUGGCAGAGGGGGGUGGAAUUCCGCGUGUAGCAGUGAAAUGCGUAGAUAUGCGGAGGAACACCGAUGGCGAAGGCAGCCCCCUGGGCCAAUACUGACGCUCAUGCACGAAAGCGUGGGGAGCAAACAGGAUUAGAUACCCGAGUAGUCCCUGUCUCUUAUAC